CUCGUAGGCGGUUCGAUAAGUCGGAUGUGAAAUCUCCACGCUCAACGUGGAGGGGCCAUUCGAUACUGUCGUGACUCGAGUCCGGUAGGGGAGUGUGGAAUUCCCGGUGUAGCGGUGAAAUGCGCAGAGAUCGGGAGGAACACCCGUAGCGAAGGCGGCACUCUGGGCCGGUACUGACGCUGAGGAGCGAAAGCGUGGGGAGCAAACA
Molecule: ribosomal RNA, 208 nt
Filed under: uncultured bacterium
Lineage: Bacteria
Description: partial 16S ribosomal RNA
Rfam family: Bacterial small subunit ribosomal RNA
Source: RNAcentral